This 427-nucleotide ribosomal RNA is filed under the name uncultured eukaryote. Its description in RNAcentral is "SSU rRNA". It matches the Rfam family "Eukaryotic small subunit ribosomal RNA", at positions 449 to 880 of the family's 1831-position model. The record is from RNAcentral.
UCCUGACACAGGGAGGUAGUGACAAGAAAUAACAAUACAGGGCUCUUUCGAGUCUUGUAAUUGGAAUGAGUACAAUUUACAUCUCUUCACGAGGAUCAAUUGGAGGGCAAGUCUGGUGCCAGCAGCCGCGGUAAUUCCAGCUCCAAUAGCGUAUAUUAAAGUUGUUGCAGUUAAAACGCUCGUAGUCGGAUUUCGGGGCAGGUUUGCCGGUCUGCCGAUGGGUAUGCACUGGUNGAACNGUCCUUCCUUCCGGAGACGGCGCCUNCUCUUAACUGAGCGGGUGUCGGAGACGGAUCGUUUACUUUGAAAAAAUCAGAGUGUUUCAAGCAGGCAGCUCGCUUUUGCAUGGAUUAGCAUGGGAUAAUGAAAUAGGACUUUGGUGCUAUUUUGUUGGUUUCGAACACCGAAGUAAUGAUUAACAGGGACA